Molecule: non-coding RNA, 71 nt
Organism: Phrynosoma platyrhinos (Desert horned lizard)
Lineage: Eukaryota; Metazoa; Chordata; Lepidosauria; Squamata; Phrynosomatidae
Source: the annotation of a GenBank genome assembly
GCCAGUGUGGCGUAGUGGUUAGAGCAUAGGAUUAGUACUCUGGAGAUCAGGGUUCAAUUCCCCGUUUGGCC